RNAcentral lists this long non-coding RNA (2665 nucleotides) under Physcomitrium patens. RNAcentral's name for it is "long non-coding RNA (PPAT_LNC003719)". Lineage: Eukaryota; Viridiplantae; Streptophyta; Bryopsida; Funariales; Funariaceae. The record is from RNAcentral.
UCAAAUUGCAGAGCUAGACCCGAAACCCUAGAAAAUAUAUCUGGGUCACUUCUGGAUGUUUCCAUCAACCCCUCACUCACUCACUCUCUCUCUCUCUCUGCGAUGUUGAAUUGUUUGUUCAUGCGCAUCUCAUGCCUCUGUAGCGAGGAUUCCUUGUCCAUACAUACAUAAUGCUAUUUUCUUGAUUUCGUGGCCUUGAGCUGUGCUGGAACUGUUAGUGUCGGACUUCCUGUUCCUUUGCUGGUAGUUUUUGCUGCUUGUAGCGAUUUGUUGAUUGGUCGAUCAAUCGAUCAAGGAGGUGAGUGAGCAAGUGAGCGGGGCUAUCACGGCGUCGUCAAGCAUGAAGUCAUUUCCCGGAGCAGGACUGUUCAUACCAGAUUUGGAUGAUGGUGUGGUUGGAGUGGCUAUGGACGUAGAUGUGGACGGAGAUGCGCUCGAGUUGCUCGGCGAUGCGGCAGUUGACCACAAGCCCUCCGAUGCCGAUUUCUUCAACGACUUCGAGGAUGAUUUCGAUGACUCUGAUUUGGCCUAAGCUUGCGGACGGUAGCUUUUGAUGUAGUGUCUGUUGCCGAUUUCGCAAUUGUGUUAGAGGUCAAUUGUGGAGGUUGUGUUAGGAAAUGGGUUGGGUUUUGGGUAAAUGAUUCAGCAGUUUUAGUCGCUAGGUCUGUAGCCAAAGAUCCGUGCGAACGGCAGGCAUGUGAUAUUCAGUCGUGAUUAACAAAGGACGCCUUCACUUCUGAAAGGUACGUAUUUGCUCUACAUGUUGUAGGUGUAUGGGGUCCUUGAACUUGACCGGAGAGUGUUCUGAUUUCAGAGCUAUAGGGAGUUCUGACCUUUGUAAUUGUAAAGAUUGUAACCAUCAACCUGAUAUUCCGUUUUCGUUAACAAUUCCUCUUCUAAUAUUUGAAAUUAUCUUCUGGGGUACUUCUUUCUAGAUCGUUACUGUGGAAGGUUUUCUCUGUUGAUUUACUGCACUAUGGAAGAAUUUAUCCCUCCAACUGAAUGUGCAUAUCUUAUUCGGUAUGAGAUGUAGCUCUGUAUUGCAUGGGAUUUCAGGCAUUAAUUUUAGCCGCCUGGACGUUAUGUCUUGACAGCGUAAAAUUAAUUCCUUAACGUCAUUUUAGAGUCGUUGCAGAAUAAAAUUUGAUCUUUAGUUUGCUUUUGGGUUGUUUUUGGUUGAGAACCUGGAAACCGGGUAUCUCAAUGGUAAGUCAAAGUAGGGUGUAUCCACAAGUGUCAGGUACCCGUUCCUGAUACUUGUAAGGGGUGCUCACUUUCUACGUGUGAAUCUUCCUAACAACGCAGAAUUCCACCAGUGAUACAUGGUUCUACACGCAAGCCAAUUAUCUAAUCAUACUUCUGCUAAUUUUUUUGAUCAAGUUGCUUAUCUUCGAAUCUAAGCUUUUAUAAGCAUUAUCAAUCUCGUGCCGUUCACUUUAAUUUAAGUUCAUUCUGAAAAUUAAAUCAGCUUAUGUUACGUUGUUAUCACGAGUAAGAAGAAAAACUUAUCUACAUCAUACGAGCUUGUGUAAAAAGUUUGGUUCUUUGUGAGAACAUCUUUCGAAUGGGACGACGUUUUCACAAAUUUCAACGGGUUAUCUUGGAUCGCAGAGAAAUCUUUUACUGUUCACCAGGAAGGUGCCCAAACUUAGAAAAUUGGACGGAGUGCACUUGAGUUGUCGGUUAUUAUAUGUGGUGCAUAGGCACUGUAUUCAUCUUGGAUGCACGACACAUGCGAAACUAUUUCAAAUGGAGAGGGCUGGCAUCGCGUCACUAGAUCCUGUAGGGUUGGUGGAAACAGCAUAACAGUCAAUCUUCUAUCCUCGACUCAAUUAUACAAUUGUCAAUGUGCCCUACUCCUCGUUCCUUGUAGGGAAGCUUCUCUUAAACGUGAAGUAAUCAAGUCGGCAUUCACUAGGUCAGGGUCAGAGCCCUAUGCAGCUUCUUAUUUACACAUAAGUCGAACAACAGUAUUUAACUGCAUGCUCAUGGAGCGACCUCGGCUGAAAUGGAAACGCGGAUGGCUCCUUCUUCACAGCCUGAAGUGUACUUCCCAUUAAAUAAGCAAGACCUUGAGCAGAGAUAGCACAACGGAACUACUGUAGAAACAAAGCGUUACUAAGCUCAGCCAAAAGGUGUACAGGGAAAAGUAUAUAAAAGUGUAGGAAAACUCAUAUUUUUAUACUCCAGAUGCUAAUCACUCUAGUUAUCCAUAUUGGUAGAGGGAUUUCCGUUUGGUUAUAAGCAAGAGUGAUUUUAGUUACUUUGCAUUACGUGGCUCCUAUUUUGCUGGCUGGAGAAUUGUGCAGCCAAGUGGCCUUUAAUCAAUGGUAAUAAAUCUUUUUACCCUGUGGAGUAAUGGUAAGGUGUGUAAAUCUGGUGCAAAGAGCCCCAUUGUGAACCAUCUCAUUGUGGGUAUCAUAAUUGUAAGUCUGCAGAAAUUUUGGAGGCACACCUGCAUCAGGUUCUAUUCCUCCAAUCAUAUAGAAGAACCCCCCUUUGAUGUUAUAAGUAUGUACACCUUGUCCAAGGUCAAACCCAAUGUUGUGCACAUGCAGCAAAGUGAAAGCAAAAUUUCUUUCUAUACUCAAUGUCUUUUGGCAAACAUACAAAUGCUAGUAAAUCUAAGGGCGUAAUAAGCAGGAGAAGAGCAACUUUGCUCCCU